UUGUUACUCCCUCCGAUCCAUAUUAAUUGUCUCAAAUUUGCUCAAAUAUGGAUGUAUCUAUAUGCCUAAAAAGCGUCUAGAUACCUGUAAUAUUUCGACAAUUAAUAUGGAUCGGAGGAAGUAGGAU
Non-coding RNA from Brachypodium distachyon (stiff brome), 127 nucleotides. The record is from Rfam. NCBI's taxonomy places the organism in Eukaryota, Viridiplantae, Streptophyta, Magnoliopsida, Poales, Poaceae.